RNAcentral lists this transfer RNA (74 nucleotides) under Anaerosolibacter carboniphilus. Its description in RNAcentral is "tRNA-Gly". It matches the Rfam family "tRNA". From Rfam's summary of the family: Transfer RNA (tRNA) molecules are approximately 80 nucleotides in length. Their secondary structure includes four short double-helical elements and three loops (D, anti-codon, and T loops). Further hydrogen bonds mediate the characteristic L-shaped molecular structure. tRNAs have two regions of fundamental functional importance: the anti-codon, which is responsible for specific mRNA codon recognition, and the 3' end, to which the tRNAs corresponding amino acid is attached (by aminoacyl-tRNA synthetases). tRNAs cope with the degeneracy of the genetic code in two manners: having more than one tRNA (with a specific anti-codon) for a particular amino acid; and 'wobble' base-pairing, i.e. permitting non-standard base-pairing at the 3rd anti-codon position. Lineage: Bacteria; Bacillati; Bacillota; Clostridia; Peptostreptococcales; Thermotaleaceae. The record is from RNAcentral.
GCGGAUGUAGUUUAAUGGUAGAACUUCAGCCUUCCAAGCUGAUCGCGUGGGUUCGAUUCCCAUCAUCCGCUCCA